RNAcentral lists this ribosomal RNA (443 nucleotides) under uncultured bacterium. Its description in RNAcentral is "partial 16S ribosomal RNA". It matches the Rfam family "Bacterial small subunit ribosomal RNA", at positions 338 to 795 of the family's 1533-position model. The record is from RNAcentral.
CCUACGGGUGGCAGCAGUGGGGAAUAUUGGGCAAUGGGCGCAAGCCUGACCCAGCAACGCCGCGUGAAGGAAGACGGCUUUCGGGUUGUUAACUUCUUUUCUCAGGGACGAAGAAAGUGACGGUACCUGAGGAAUAAGCCUCGGCUAACUACGUGCCAGCAGCCGCGGCAAUCCGGAGGUGGCAAGCGUUAUCCGGAUUUAUUGGGUGUAAAGGGCGUGUAGGCGGGAGCGCAAGUCAGAUGUGAAAACUCAGGGCUUAACCCUGGGCCUGCAUUUGAAACUGUGUUUCUUGAGUGCUGGAGAGGCAAUCGGAAUGCCGGGUGUAGCGGUGAAAUGCGUAGAUAUACGGAAGAACACCAGUGGCGAAGGCAGAUUGCUGGAGAGUAACUGACGCUGAGGCGCGAAAGCGUGGGGAGCAAACAGGAUUAGAUACCCCAGUAGUC